CCUCAUGAAUCUUCAUGAAACAUUUAUAUUGAUAUUGAAGAAUCUGCAUAUGUUAUUAUCUGAAAGAGAAUACGAUUGUUAAACUCCAACUAGAUUGAGGCAAUUAAGGAAGUACAACUGAACGAAAACUGUAAAAAGAAUAAAAUAAAAUCAAUAAACUUCAGUUAACAUUGUGAAAUGCUUACACCACAAAUUCAAGCGUUUAACAUAAGUGAUCGUAAACAAAGUAAUAAAUAAUGGUCCCUUUGGAGAGAUUUAUAAAAAUAAAGAAAUAUUUAUAAGCACAAUAGGGCAAAAAAAUAUUGGGAAACAAAUUCAAACAAGCCAAAGACAUGCUGACACUUUUUAUGGCUUAUUGCUUGUUAGAGAAGCAUGUGUAUAAAAAAUGGGCCAUCUAAUUGGCUAGCCUGCAUAUUUUACGAUGCUAAUGGCCUGUUGCUCCAUCUCUUCGUCUGACAGCCUGAAUGUUCCUCAAGGACAGUCUGACGUUGACAGGAUCCGUGCUCACAGAUACUCUGUAAGUUAAUAUAUAGACUGAAAACUAUUUCCGGACAAAA
Long non-coding RNA from Drosophila sulfurigaster albostrigata, 557 nucleotides. RefSeq lists it as uncharacterized. The transcript is spliced from 3 exons. NCBI's taxonomy places the organism in Eukaryota, Metazoa, Arthropoda, Insecta, Diptera, Drosophilidae. The record is from RefSeq and is a predicted model, not a curated record.